RNAcentral lists this ribosomal RNA (416 nucleotides) under uncultured bacterium. RNAcentral's name for it is "bacterial SSU rRNA". It matches the Rfam family "Bacterial small subunit ribosomal RNA", at positions 355 to 787 of the family's 1533-position model. The record is from RNAcentral.
UCGGGAAUAUUGCGCAAUGGAGGAAACUCUGACGCAGUGACGCCGCGUGCAGGAAGAAGGUUUUCGGAUUGUAAACUGCUUUAGACAGGGAAGAUAACCACAGUACCUGUAGAAUAAGCUCCGGCUAACUACGUGCCAGCAGCCGCGGUAAUACGUAGGGAGCAAGCGUUAUCCGGAUUUAUUGGGUGUAAAGGGUGCGUAGACGGGAAGGCAAGUUAGUUGUGAAAUCCCUCGGCUUAACUGAGGAACUGCAACUAAAACUAUCUUUCUUGAGUGUUGGAGAGGAAAGUGGAAUUCCUAGUGUAGCGGUGAAAUGCGUAGAUAUUAGGAGGAACACCAGUGGCGAAGGCGACUUUCUGGACAAUAACUGACGUUGAGGCACGAAAGUGUGGGGUAGCAAACAGGAUUAGAUACCC